RNAcentral lists this unclassified non-coding RNA (2634 nucleotides) under Polistes dominula (European paper wasp). RNAcentral describes it as "kinesin-like protein KIF9, transcript variant X3". The record is from RNAcentral. Lineage: Eukaryota; Metazoa; Arthropoda; Insecta; Hymenoptera; Vespidae.
AAAAAUAUAAAGGUCUUUGUGAGAAUUUUACCACUUGAAAAACAAUGCAAAUCAUGUGCACAAAUUGAUACUGAACAUAAGAUGGAAUUUUUUAUAACGCAUCUCAAGAAGAAGUUUAUAAAGCAACAACAACAAAUCUUAUAGAAAAGUACUAAGUACAUGCUUAAAAUGCAAUAGUAAAUUAAUCAACAUUUAAAGUAAUAUAAUUUAAGGGUUUUAGAUGGCGUAAACUGUAUAAUAUAUAGUUACGGUCAAAUUGGUUCAGGAAAAAGUUUUACAAUUGGCGGUUUAAGAAAUAACUGGGAAAGGAUUGGUUAUGCGGCUUCUGUCUGAUAUGUUUACAGAAAAAGCAAAGCGAAGGAAAGUUAAUAAGAUACAAUAUCGUUUAAGUUUUGUUGAAUUACGUGGUAAAGAAGUAAAAGAUCUUUUACUAGCUAAAACAGAAAACAAAAUUAAAGUAAAUGAUACUGAUGCAUUUAAGAAUGUAACAAUAAUAAAUGUGAACAAUCAAGAGACAGCAUUGAAGAAACUUUUUGAAGGAGAGACUAGAAGAUCUAUAGUUACGGGUUCUUUCUAUCCAGCUUCCCAUUUAGGAACUGCAGUAAUAACUCUUCAUGUUUCGAAUACGAGUUUAAUUACCUCGUGGGCCGUUGUGGCGAAAGCCAAAAUACAUAUUGUAGAAAUGGCAGGUACAGGAACUGUAGGAAAACGAAAUUGCAUGAAAUCACCAGCAGACGUAGGUGCAGCGAAUUUAGGUCAAACUCAAGUUGAAACAUUUUUCUUAUAUUUGAGAGGCUUUGAAAUAUCUACUAAGUGUAUAUUACGUUCUAAUAAUCUUUUCAAGUUUUUGGGUCAAGCUCUUUCUGUAACGUCGAUGCUUCGAUUUAUCGCACACGUAUGCAUUACAAAAGAAGAUUUAGAUUCGACAUUGACCACUUUACGAUUUGCUUCUACAGUUUCGAAAUUACGUCCGGUUAAAAUGAAAUAUAAUGUUAGACCACACACUGAAACAAUCAUAUCGGAACUCAAGAAAGAAAUCGAAAUGUUGAAACGAGAAUUGGAAUUAAAUGAAAUGUUUUCAAAUCAAGAAUCAACAAUAAAUAUAUCGAAAUUAAGAUACGAACAAAUGCAUCGUGACGUAAUGCACUUUUUAAAUGGUACAUUAUCCGAUAUGACGUUAUACAGCGUUUCGCAGAUGGAAAUUUUAUUAACAAUUAUUAAAAAUUUAUAUCAGAAAUUGACUUUGAAACAGGCCGAAGUUGAUACGUUAAUUGAAACUUACGAAAACGCUUUGAAAAAUAUAAAUGAAAUAACUUUUUCAAUAAAUUUAUCGGAAGCCAACAAUAAGACCAUUUUAUCACUCAAGAAUAAUUCGAUUGAAAAUGAAACUCUAAAUGUUAGAUCAACUAUUUCUCAAACAAGUAAGGAUAUUAUUAAAAAUUCGAAAACAGAGCAAGUGGGUGUAUUAAAAAAAACAGGUAUCACAUUAGGAAAUUUUAACAAAGAAGCAUUUGAAAAAAUGAUAAAAAUAUAUAAACACGAACAAAAUUCGCUAAACUUCGACGCAACGGAAGUUCAUAAACAAUUUAAAGAUAAUAAUAAACUUUCGGUUUGUACUGACGAAGGAGAGAAAGCUGUGGAAGAUUUGAAAGUUAAAUUCUAUCAAUUACAAAAUAUGAUGAUACGUAGCAUCGAGGUAAAAAUACCAAACAUCAACCGAAAAUAUCAACGAUCUCUCGAAAAAUGUUCUGUAAAUGAACAACAUUCAAUUAUACUAAGUAAUUUAAUAAGAUAAUUUAACGGAUAAUAGAUGAUACGAAUAAUAUAAUUUCCAACGGAGUUCCGUCAACGCGUCGAAAUCUAGAUCAGCACCCUACCUGUCCAAUGCAGAAGGUUCAGAGUAUUGAUUACUCUCUAGGAGGAAGCUACGUUGGGGAGGUGAAUGAAAUAUGGACAAUCGUCAAAUGAAGUUAAAGACAUAAAUAGUUAUGCAAGUGGUACGGAGUCCAUGCGAAAUGACUUGACGGUGUAUUCUUGGUUGCCUUGCUGGCGGUAAAGACUUUAGCUUGGAGCCACGCCUGGUAUCCCCCAUAGAAGCAGUUUCAUAAGCCACGCCUACAAUGUGAACCUCUCUCCAACUCUUCUCUACUACCGCCCACUAACCCGGAGGCAGUAACGAGAGAGGGAGAGGAAGAGGGAAAAGAAAAAAGAGAGAAUGAGAGAAAGAGGGAGAGAGAGAGAGAGAAAGAGAGAGAGAGAGAGAGAGAAAGCCUAAGGGCUAAUAAUUCAUGUCACGAGCACACCCCACCAUAAAGAGUCAACUACAGGCACCUCGAGCGUAUUCCAUAUCAGCGACCACUCUGCCGCAUAACGUUAUUCAGUUGCAGUUACUGUUAAUUACCGAUCACCUUUUAUAAUUUAUUGCUACACCUCGGACAGAGCUCGCUGUAAUGACGCCAGAAACGUUGGAAAAUUCCCAGUUACCGUUAUCGAACGACUGAUCACCGACAAUUAUGUAACACCAAAAGGAUUGAUUCAACUUUGUAUUGUAUUAGCACACAGAAUGUUCUAGCCGUUCUUAUUGAAUCGUUCAAUGUUCUUUAUAUAAAGGUUCUUCUCCUUGUUCUCAUCUAA